CAGCCGCCACGGUAAUACGAAGGGUGCAAGCGUUAAUCGUAAUUACUGGGCGUAAAGCGUGCGUAGGCGGUUUGUUAAGUCUGCUGCGAAAUCCCCGGGCUCAACCUGGGAAUGGCAGUGGAUACUGGCAAGCUAGAGUGUGUCAGAGGAUGGUGGAAUUUCCGGUGUAGCAGUGAAAUGCGUAGAGAUCGGAAGGAACAUCUGUGGCGAAGGCGACUAUCUGGGCCAACACUGACACUGAGGCACGAAAGCGUGGGGAGCAAACAGGAUUAGAUACCCGCGUAGUCCCUGUCUCUUAUAC
RNAcentral lists this ribosomal RNA (301 nucleotides) under uncultured bacterium. RNAcentral describes it as "partial 16S ribosomal RNA". It matches the Rfam family "Bacterial small subunit ribosomal RNA", at positions 509 to 807 of the family's 1533-position model. The record is from RNAcentral.